GACGAACGCUGGCGGCGUGCUUAACACAUGCAAGUUGAACGGGCAUACAUGGAAGCUUGCUGAAGUGUAUGUUAGUAGCGGACGGGUGAGUAAUGCAUGAGGACCUGCCUGCCGGAGGGGGACAACAGUUGGAAACGGCUGCUAAUACCCCGUACGCCGAGAGGUGAAAGGAAUGGAGACAUUCCGCCGGGAGAGGGACUCAUGUCCUAUCAGCUAGUUGGUGAGGUAACGGCUCACCAAGGCGACGACGGGUAGCCGGCCUGAGAGGGCGACCGGCCACACUGGAACUGAGAGACGGUCCAGACUCCUACGGGAGGCAGCAGUGGGGAAUAUUGGGCAAUGGGGGCAACCCUGACCCAGCGACGCCGCGUGAGGGAAGAAGGCCUUCGGGUCGUAAACUUCUUUUGUACGUGAAGAAGCAGAUGACGGUAGUGUACGAAUAAGUCCCGGCUAACUACGUGCCAGCAGCCGCAGUAA
Molecule: ribosomal RNA, 477 nt
Filed under: uncultured bacterium
Lineage: Bacteria
Description: partial 16S ribosomal RNA
Rfam family: Bacterial small subunit ribosomal RNA
Source: RNAcentral